This 415-nucleotide ribosomal RNA is filed under the name uncultured Bacilli bacterium. Its description in RNAcentral is "bacterial SSU rRNA". It matches the Rfam family "Bacterial small subunit ribosomal RNA", at positions 347 to 753 of the family's 1533-position model. Lineage: Bacteria; Bacillati; Bacillota; Bacilli. The record is from RNAcentral.
GGCAGCAGUAGGGAAUCUUCCGCAAUGGACGAAAGUCUGACGGAGCAACGCCGCGUGAGUGAUGAAGGUUUUCGGAUCGUAAAACUCUGUUGUUAGGGAAGAACAAGUACCGUUCGAAUAGGGCGGUACCUUGACGGUACCUAACCGGAAAGCCACGGCUAACUACGUGCCAGCAGCCGCGGUAAUACGUAGGUGGCAAGCGUUGUCCGGAAUUAUUGGGCGUAAAGCGCGCGCAGGCGGUUUCUUAAGUCUGAUGUGAAAGCCCCCGGCUCAACCGGGGAGGGUCAUUGGAAACUGGGGAACUUGAGUGCAGAAGAGGAGAGUGGAAUUCCACGUGUAGCGGUGAAAUGCGUAGAGAUGUGGAGGAACACCAGUGGCGAAGGCGACUCUCUGGUCUGUAACUGACGCUGAGGCG